RNAcentral lists this ribosomal RNA (343 nucleotides) under uncultured Thecofilosea. RNAcentral's name for it is "bacterial SSU rRNA". The stretch from base 126 to 343 matches the Rfam family "Eukaryotic small subunit ribosomal RNA", at positions 738 to 955 of the family's 1831-position model. The record is from RNAcentral. Lineage: Eukaryota; Cercozoa; Thecofilosea.
GAUUUCUGGUAUGAUGCCCCUGAUCCGCGCCCUUUACGGGGUGUGUGUGUUGGUGUGGCGUCUGCCAUCUUUUGUGUAGAUGCUACGUUUUUGAGGGGCCUUUACUGGUUUUUCAUACGUGGGUUAUCAUCUACAUCUUUUACUUUGAAAAAAUUAGAGUGUUUAAAGCAGGCUUUUAGCCCUUGAAUACAUUAGCAUGGAAUAAUAAUAUAGGACUUCGGUUCUAUUUUGUUGGUUUCUAGUACUGAAGUAAUGAUUGAUAGGGAUAGUUGGGGGUGCUAGUAUUCAGCGGCCAGAGGUGAAAUUCUUGGAUUCGCUGAAGACUAACUUAUGCGAAAGCAUU